GUGCCAGCAGCCGCGGUAAUACAGAGGGUGCAAGCGUUGUUCGGAAUUAUUGGGCGUAAAGCGCGUGUAGGCGGCCUUGCAAGUUGGGUGUGAAAGCCCUCGGCUUAACCGAGGAAGUGCGCCCAAAACUACGAGGCUUGAGUGCCGGAGAGGGUGGCGGAAUUCCCGGUGUAGAGGUGAAAUUCGUAGAUAUCGGGAGGAACACCAGUGGCGAAGGCGGCCACCUGGACGGUAACUGACGCUGAGACGCGAAAGCGUGGGGAGCAAACAGGAUUAGAUACCCCCGUAGUCC
This 292-nucleotide ribosomal RNA is filed under the name uncultured bacterium. RNAcentral's name for it is "partial 16S ribosomal RNA". It matches the Rfam family "Bacterial small subunit ribosomal RNA", at positions 505 to 796 of the family's 1533-position model. The record is from RNAcentral.